Molecule: transfer RNA, 73 nt
Filed under: Borrelia coriaceae
Lineage: Bacteria; Pseudomonadati; Spirochaetota; Spirochaetia; Spirochaetales; Borreliaceae
Also listed under: 1 other name
Description: tRNA-Cys
Rfam family: tRNA
About the family: Transfer RNA (tRNA) molecules are approximately 80 nucleotides in length. Their secondary structure includes four short double-helical elements and three loops (D, anti-codon, and T loops).
Source: RNAcentral
GGCGCUGUACCCAAAUGGCUAAGGGAAAAGUCUGCAAAACUUUGAUUUGCCGGUUCGAUUCCGGUCGGCGCCU